RNAcentral lists this long non-coding RNA (2711 nucleotides) under Parus major (Great Tit). RNAcentral's name for it is "lncRNA (ENSPMJG00000005662.1)". The record is from RNAcentral. Lineage: Eukaryota; Metazoa; Chordata; Aves; Passeriformes; Paridae.
CUCCUAACGUGUGAACUUUUUUUUUUGUUACAGAGGUCCUAUGCCAUCGUGGCAUAAGAGGUGAGUGGCCUCUUUUCUUGAAGCCUCCUAUUUACUAGCUUAUUGAAAGCCUGGUCCACUAUUUACAUCACUGGAUGCUUAACUGCUCUCUAUCAGUCUCCUCUAUGAUUCAAAAAUGUUUCCAUAAAGACAUCUUCCAUAUUUCAGAAACAGCCUCAAGUCCUUAUACUUUGUUAUCUUUAUUUUCUAAACCACUGGAAAUUUUGCCAUUAAUGGCUUCAAAGGAUGGAGAGGUUACUUAUUUCAUUUGCAUGAUGAUAUUAAUUCCAUCUCUUGUAAUAUGAGUAGUAUUCUGUUUUUCUUUUACCCAGUGUAAUUUGAUUUGGUAUGGUUUCUUUUUCCCCUUAUAAUUUCAAAUAUAUUGAAUGUUUUUAUUUAAUUCUGGUUACAUGCAUGGGAUUCUGGCUACAUGAGCUGGAUAUUGUCUGUGUACGGAGUUAUUUGGAGCAGACAAAAUGAGUGAAAAGACAAACUUAUGAUAUCACUAUAGACAAAGGUCUACAGUGCCAAAUAGUCUAGAAAAGUAAGAAACAAAUACCUCCAAAUUUCUAUAAAAGAGAGAAAAUAAUCACAUCUGAGAGGGAAUAGAUACUAAAUACAAUGGAUUAAAAAAAAAGAGGAAAAAUUAGUUCAUUAAAGAGGUAAAAAAACCCGCUACAUAUUACUAAGUGAUAAAGAUGGUUAUUAUGCACAAGGUUAUUAAAUUCAUUAAUGGUAUUUUCAGUGGUACAGCAGAUACAUCCAUUUGCUUUCAUGGGUGCAAAUUCUCUUUGCAGAAAUGAGACUGUGUUUGCUGUAAUAUAGCUCUUGCUUGCAGGCCUGCAGUUGAAACCUCACAAGUUACUUUCUCCAGUGGUUAGGUGCUUUUCUAUGGAGAAUGAGACUCCAGUUUUUUGCCCUUCGCUGGGGCCUGAAGAGGUUGGAGAUUUUUGUGAAGGAAACUACCAAAGAGCAGCCAAUCUGUUUCCCUUCAUAAAUCUCAAAGGCUUGACAGAUGGGCCGAAAGCACUGCAGACGUUUGAACAAGGAAAUAGAGAGGGAGCCUGCUGGAAGCAGGGCUUCACGCAGCCAGCCGCGGAUGAUGAAUAGAGUGUGAUUGUGUCUGACAGGUAGUAAUAUAACUAUUCAUUCACCACAGAACACCUGGAGCACACUAUAUUAAAUGGUACAAGAUGGAGAGAUUCUGUGACAGGAAUGGGAAGUGUGAAUCCCAUGCUGAGUUUAGGUACAGCAAUAUAAAAGGUCAGGGGUCGUGCAAUAUAAACUCCCUGAGAAAAGGAUGUAAUUAAAUUAUUUGCUUACUAAAGUCUUUCUAAUGUUUUGCUAACAUGUUGCCAGGAUCAUUAUUUCAGCAUGUCUGCGCAGCUGAGAGGAAAAUAGCAAAUGGUGCUUGCUGACUACUGUGCUCCCGCUCUGUGUUCAGAGGCUUGCUAAUCUAAGUGCCAUCAUUGUUGCACUAAGCUGCAUUGCAGGGUGGGGAUGGUGAGGGGCAGAAAAGCCCAAUUGUGGCCACAGACCUAGAAGCUGUGUGCUGUGUUUUGUCUUAUAUUUUGAAGCUUGUAGUUGACCUUAUUUUAGGGCAUUUGUGGUCAAAAAUCUGCUAUGUUCAGUAGGCUCAUGGAGAAUUAAAGGAUACUGCAGUUGUGGAUAAUUUGGGCUGUGGAGCUUUGCAGCAUGACAUAUCUGUUUUGUCAGAGCUGAAAGAACCUGCCAUUUCCCCCCUGCUAUGACAGAACUGUAAUUCAAAUCCAGAGACACUUCAUUUUGCUAAUAUUUGUUUUGUUCUGUUUUGAGAAGCCGAUAGGGCUUAAAGUCUAGAAUUGUUCCUUGUAUAUUUAAAAUGAGGGCCUGAGAUUGGGUCCAAUGUUAGCAUGAGUUGGAACCAAGCUGCAAGGAGUUGACUUACUACAUUACUGAAAAUCUUCCACACAGGAGCUACUGAACGCUUUUGGAACACUUAACUUUUUUUGGAAGAAACCUGAGAUAGAGACAUUUUGGAAGAUUUCAGUGAGCAGUUGCAUGUGAGAAUACGUGCUACUGAUAAAUAACAUCCAAAAGGAAAUCUUGCUGGCAGUCAUAUGCCAAUGAAUAUUUUUACCACAAUUCAUGUCGUUCUAGGCAGGAUGUUAACCAAUUUGUUUUUGUAUGCUUGUCACAGAUAACUCUUAAAAUAUGAUGACAAAGUACAGUGUCCUUCUGAAAAUACAGACAGCUAAUGCACUUAUAGUCCCUUCUCCUGAGUGUGCAAAUGAGGGGUUUACUUCAAGCAUAGGUGAUAGAACAGAAAAAAAGACAAACAAGCUGGCAGGUUUACUUAUUUAUUUAUUAUUUCUUUACAGGGAAUACAGCACAUUGUGUAGCUAGAAAUGUUACUUGUGUCAUGUGUGUUACAGACAAAUAAUGAAUAGAAAAGUUUACAUUUAAAAAGUAUUACUUUUGUCAAAAUUUCAGUGUCUAGAGAAGGUAUUGAUAAUUUUUUGUAAAUUCAAAAGCAUCAAAAGGGUAGGCUACCUAAAACCACUCUGCUUUUUGCCAUUUGAAACAUGUAUUUUUACGUUAGGAGAGAUAUAAUCUAAUUUUAUGCCUCAAAAUCCAUACAUUAUUUGACAUUGUAUAAAUAAAUUGUUUCACAUUAAAAAUAUACGUUUUCA